Molecule: small nucleolar RNA, 134 nt
Filed under: Catagonus wagneri (Chacoan peccary)
Lineage: Eukaryota; Metazoa; Chordata; Mammalia; Artiodactyla; Tayassuidae
Description: Small nucleolar RNA SNORA70 (ENSCWAG00000014321.1)
Rfam family: Small nucleolar RNA SNORA70
About the family: snoRNA U70 seems to be exclusive to mammals and is a member of the H/ACA class of snoRNA which contain H (ANANNA) and ACA box motifs.
Source: Rfam by way of RNAcentral
UUGCAGCCAGUUAAGCCGACCGUGCUCUUUCUCCAUGGGGGCCGGGUGUGCAGCGGCUGCAAACGGCAGCCUCCUCGGUAGCGUACGCGGCCUGCUGCCUGUGCAGGUUGCCCCAAGGGGCCCUGGAGGCAGCC